AGAGCAAAUAUUAGAGAGAUGAUCAUUGAAAAGCUAACAGUCCUUGACCAGACAAGAGUAGUAAAGAUCGCUGGAAAAUGGUCACCAGACAGUAUGCUAGCAGUGGUUAACAAGGCACCAUCUACAAUGUGAACCAACACCAUCACAGACCUCAACAAGUUCAAUACCACAGCUUUAGUGGUCCUACAACAGCUUUAUUACAUGAUCGGGCUAAGAGAAAAAUGGAGACUAAGACUGGACGCUAAGAUAAAAGCAACACAUACGGAAGUUAGUAAGCUGGAGGAGGGAAGAUCAACUUCACAGAGGAGGGAAGAUCAAUGACAGAACCUAACUGCCGAGGAAAUGCAAGGAUCAGCUGAUAGCAGAGGCUGUGGAAACAGCUAAUCAAAGGCUGACAGCAAUCAGAGUGAGCAGAUAU
Pelobates cultripes (western spadefoot toad) is the source of this 418-nucleotide non-coding RNA. Lineage: Eukaryota; Metazoa; Chordata; Amphibia; Anura; Pelobatidae. The record is from the annotation of a GenBank genome assembly.